RNAcentral lists this small RNA (298 nucleotides) under Histoplasma ohiense. RNAcentral's name for it is "hypothetical lncRNA". The record is from RNAcentral. Lineage: Eukaryota; Fungi; Ascomycota; Eurotiomycetes; Onygenales; Ajellomycetaceae.
GUGCGCAUAAAAGGGGAAUGUCGAUACGGGUGGGCAAUUUCGUAGGCUUCGUUAUGGCCGUAGGAGUUGUCUAUAUUCUCUACCGAGUACUUUGGUUGGUCAGCCAGCCGGUCUGCUGAAGGCAUUUCCAGGUGUCCAUAUGGCCUGGAUGGAGUGUCCUCCAACUGGUAGCCAUGAAACGGCCUGCCCGGCGACGGGAUGCGAUUGGGGUCCGGCCGAUUUGGAUUCAUUCCGAGAUCAUGAGGAUCAUCGUCCUGCGAAGGGUCUUAGAAUAGAGCGAUUGUCAGCUUCGGGUACU